CUACGGGUUGCAGCAGUGAGGAAUAUUGCACAAUGGGGGGAACCCUGAUGCAGCAACGCCGCGUGGAGGAUGACGCAUUUCGGUGUGUAAACUCCUUUUAUAUGCCAAGAAAAUGACGGUAGCAUAUGAAUAAGCACCGGCUACACUCCGUGCCAGCAGCCGCGGUAAUACGGAGGGUGCAAGCGUUACUCGGAAUCACUGGGCGUAAAGGACGCGUAGGCGGGUUGGAAAGUCAGGUGUGAAAUCCUACAGCUUAACUGUAGAACUGCACUUGAAACUUCUAAUCUAGAGUAUGGGAGGGGGAGAUGGAAUUAGUGGUGUAGGGGUAAUAUCCGUAGAUAUCACUAGGAAUACCUAAAGCGAAGGCGAUCACCUGGAACAUUACUGACGCUAAGGCGUGAAAGCGUGGGGAGCAAACAGGAUUAGAUACCCCGGUAGUC
Molecule: ribosomal RNA, 440 nt
Filed under: uncultured bacterium
Lineage: Bacteria
Description: partial 16S ribosomal RNA
Rfam family: Bacterial small subunit ribosomal RNA
Source: RNAcentral